This 527-nucleotide ribosomal RNA is filed under the name uncultured bacterium. Its description in RNAcentral is "partial 16S ribosomal RNA". It matches the Rfam family "Bacterial small subunit ribosomal RNA", at positions 355 to 874 of the family's 1533-position model. The record is from RNAcentral.
UGGGGAAUUUUGGACAAUGGGCGAAAGCCUGAUCCAGCAAUGCCGCGUGUGUGAAGAAGGCCUUCGGGUUGUAAAGCACUUUUGUCCGGAAAGAAAUCCUUGGCUCUAAUACAGUCGGGGGAUGACGGUACCGGAAGAAUAAGCACCGGCUAACUACGUGCCAGCAGCCGCGGUAAUACGUAGGGUGCAAGCGUUAAUCGGAAUUACUGGGCGUAAAGCGUGCGCAGGCGGUUUGCUAAGACCGAUGUGAAAUCCCCGGGCUCAACCUGGGAACUGCAUUGGUGACUGGCAGGCUAGAGUAUGGCAGAGGGGGGUAGAAUUCCACGUGUAGCAGUGAAAUGCGUAGAGAUGUGGAGGAAUACCGAUGGCGAAGGCAGCCCCUUGGGCCAAUACUGACGCUCAUGCACGAAAGCGUGGGGAGCAAACAGGAUUAGAUACCCUGGUAGUCCACGCCCUAAAACGAUGUCAACUAGUUGUUGGGAUUCAUUUUCCUUAGUAACGUAGCUAACGCGUGAAGUUGACCGCCU